Lepisosteus oculatus (spotted gar) is the source of this 3220-nucleotide long non-coding RNA. The record is from Ensembl. Lineage: Eukaryota; Metazoa; Chordata; Actinopteri; Semionotiformes; Lepisosteidae.
UAAAAAUACUGAUUGUGUUGAUAUAAACCUUUUAAAAUGACCUCCCUUGAAAGUAAAAGUCAACCUGUUAAAGGUACUGUACUUGGUCAAAUACAAAGACAAAAUAUUACAGUCACUGAAAAGCCAAGAUGAUGUUUAAUUACAUCUUCCUCAGAGCACACAUAUAGUAUUUACAUAUUGCAACAGACUUGUAAUUAAAGUUAUUUGAAAAGUUAUCUAGAUUAACAAUGGUUUUGUGCUUUUGACAUUCAACAGGUGCCCAAAUCCAUGCAUCUCUAACACAUGUCACAUAUACUGUAGGUCUUUUCUAUGAGUUCCUCCAGGGCUCAACCUUUUGCUCUGGUUGGAACGGAAAGAAAGUUUAAGGUUCUGCUUCAUGAACCAAGAAGCUGUUGCUGAAUGUUUUCUUUCUUGUGUUUGCCCUGCACAGAGGGGCACUCAGUCUGCUGUUGUUUAAGGUAGCAUUCAGUCCUGUGUGUUUACCCAAUCACUGUGUAAUGAUUCAUCAGUCUGUAAUCAGGCACUGAAGAGAAACAGCUCUUGCUGUAAAUUACAGGCUCGUGCUCUCUGUGGGCUCUCCCAUCUACGGAGACAUCUGGACAGCUGCCCAGACCUGUUGCCUGUUGUCAUACAGAUAGUCAUCUACACGGUACCAAGUGGCUGGUUUUUAGGAGCUGAUCCCAUGGUACUGUAUGCAAACACAUUGACAGAAAGGGACACAUACCUCGCACGUUCCACAUAUUCGCUGUUGAAGCCAUAGGCAGAGAAACAUGCAUUUGCAAAAGUCAGAAGAGCAAAUCUCCUCACAACAUGACACCAUGGGCAGAGCAUGCAAGAGAAAAUGUGUUUAAGGGUUUCAAGUUAAGGAUCCAGGCGAAGUCCUGGCAGCAAUCACUACUUGGACUGCUUUAUCUACACCUCCAGUUACAUUUUUUGACAUCCCCUUCCCCAUUUCUAUUUUCAGACAAAACAGAGGGAGGAGAUUACCCACCUGUCCUCUCUUAGUGUUAAAAAUUGGCACAGAGCAGCAUGGCCAAGCCACAGAUUUGGAAGAAUUUAACACCCGCUGGAUCCAGACAAGGAGAACUCUGUUCAAAAUAAACCCUGGACCCCCACAGGAAUGCACAGUAUCAACUGCUCCUAGGCCAGCAACCUCCACCCUCUCCCCAGAAUCAUUGCCACAGUCCUGCAGGAGUAAGAAGGUCGGUUAUGAUGACCCCCGGCACAGAUCUGAGGAACAGAAGGGGUACUGUCGAAAAGCCCCUUUAUCCAUAUAUUUAAUUCUCAAACUUUACUUUCUAUGCUUCACAGAACUAAAAGUUUACGGAGGAUUCCUUACCCUGCCAUGCUGUCCAGCGCUGUCGAUGUUGAGUAUUUGUGUUGUUCUUUUGAAACAAUCUAAUCGCACCACUAGUGCUGUCCUGGGAUGCUUCUGUAUAAUCAAACUACAGAGAGAAAGCUUUGCAGAACAAAAAAAGGGGAAAGUGAAAAUGUCCUCUAAAAUGUGUAUGCUACACAAGGCUCUCUGUACUAAAUUGCUCUUAUUGGAAAACUGCUUAUUCCUGGUAAGGGGGAAGCCACCCAGACCCUGUUCUGGAAGCACAAGGCACAAGGUGAGAAUACACCCUGGAUGGGAUGUCAGUCAGUCACACACACACAUAGGCACCCCAGGCACCCCAGGACAAUGUAGAAACUGAUAAGCCUUGUCAGCCUGUCACUGGCUCCGGAAGAAGCAGCGGUACUUUGGCUGUAGGUUUGACAAAGCCGAAAGGAGAGGUGAAGGUUUGCACCCAAAUGGCGAAGAACGAGGAGUAUCUCAAGAUGGAGGAAAUGAUUCUCUGUAAUCCAGUGGAGUUUGAGUGUUUUGAGGCGACGGAGGCCACCUGUGCCUGGCCAGGCCAGCAGGGCUACCCCACCAUGGAGGAAGAGGGAGCCUUUGACUUGUCCCCUGUGACCCUGCUAAGAGAGAACUGGACUCCUUCUUGGAGGCAGUGAGCAAGCUGACUGUCAAUUUCCCUCCGAUGGACAUUGAAGGCUGAAUGUUGGUGUAUAUGCCGCAUUGUUCUUAAGCAUUAGUAAACAUUGUUUUUUUAUGGAAGCUGCUUCAUAAAGUUUAGAUUAAGUUGGAAAACCAAGUGAGGAAAAAACAGAGCACCUAGCAGAUGGAGAGAGCAGGGACAUGUCAAGAGCUGUAAGGCAUCAGUGCCAAUAGCGACCCCACCAGGACACUGACAUCCUUAGAAGCACAGCACACUUUCUACUCUGACAUGAACAAACUCAAUCAGCUUAUGUACCAGACGGAGAACAAAGCACUGAAUAUGAAGUCAGCUCAUUGGAAAAACAAAAAUUGUAGCCCACUUAUGUACCUCUUUUUAAACUCUGAUGUAAGCAUAAUUGAAUCCCAGAAAACACAGGCUCAGAAAAAACAUUACGUAAAUGCUUUUUAUAACUUGCACCAGUACGAAUCAUAAACAAAAACAGGCUUGUCUUUCAUCCUCAACACUGUCACCUGUUAUUUUCCUCGUUUUGUACAUUUGAGAAAUAACCUUUAUCUCUGAUCUGCUGUCUGGUUGAGGUCACACUGUGUUCUGUUACUCUGCUUUCAAUCUGAUUUCCAAAAUACACUGAGCACUGAGUUGUAACUCCUUUCUAAAGGCUAGAUAUGGCAUUUAACCUACUGCUGCCUCGGGUCCAAGUAUCAGUCUGUAACAGCAACUAAAAACGUUCAAAGAGAAAUCUUACAUAGUUCUUCUGUUAUCUUGUAUGCCACCAGAAGCCAGACUUUCUAUGACUUAAAUUAAAUUUAAAAAAAAGGUCUUUCUGGUAACAUAUCUUGACACACUGCUCUGUAGACUCUGUUAUAGCUGGAACUUACAUGAAUGGUUCCCUUCCUCUAGCACUUAUUAGUCUGUUUUACCUUGACGUCAGGAUGAAGCUAGCUCAACUAAAAGUCUGCCUGCCAGCCUGACGUGAACAGAGGGUAGCCUGGGAAGCUAUUUUCAGGAACAGAUUUGUUUAACUUAGUGGGUUUGAAAAUAUGAAACUUGAGACCUGAAUCAAAACAGGAAAAACGACACUCUGUACUCCACUAAAAUGCUACAUGGUACAAAUAAACACAAAUGGUGAAAUGUGCUGGGAUUCUGUGUGUGGUCGCUGUAAUUUCUGCUCUGACUGAUAAAGGCUUCCAGCAGUUAAAGGAAAGGUCUACAUUUCAGCCCAG